CAACAACUGUUGAUGGGCCCUCAACAGAAGUUCGUGGCAGCCAUACACCAUCACCAGAGCCUGAGCUAACACCUGGCACGGCCAAUGAGGCAAGCCACACGCCAGCAACAAGUGCGGAUGGGCCUUCCCAAGCCACUCAUAACCGCACACCAUUGCGAGAGCUUUCAACAAAUGUGCCACAGCCACUGCCUAGAGGCAGUGCACGAGCACAACUGGCU
Molecule: long non-coding RNA, 218 nt
Organism: Rhipicephalus microplus (southern cattle tick)
Lineage: Eukaryota; Metazoa; Arthropoda; Arachnida; Ixodida; Ixodidae
Source: RefSeq, a predicted model, not a curated record